Molecule: ribosomal RNA, 1401 nt
Filed under: uncultured bacterium
Lineage: Bacteria
Description: 16S ribosomal RNA
Rfam family: Bacterial small subunit ribosomal RNA
Source: RNAcentral
UAGAGUUUGAUCCUGGCUCAGGAUGAACGCUAGCGACAGGCUUAACACAUGCAAGUCGAGGGGCAGCGGGGGCGUAGCAAUAUGCCUGCCGGCGACCGGCGCACGGGUGAGUAACACGUAUGUAACCUGCCCUAUGCAGGGGGAUAACCCGGAGAAAUCCGGCCUAAUACCGCGUAACACCUUUCGGGAGCAUUCCCGGGGGGUUAAAGGAGCGAUCCGGCAUAGGAUGGACAUGCGUCGCAUUAGGUAGACGGCGGGGUAACGGCCCACCGUGCCGACGAUGCGUAGGGGUUCUGAGAGGAAGGCCCCCCACACUGGUACUGAGACACGGACCAGACUCCUACGGGAGGCAGCAGUGAGGAAUAUUGGUCAAUGGCCGGGAGGCUGAACCAGCCAAGUCGCGUGAGGGAAGAAUGUCCUAAGGAUUGUAAACCUCUUUUGUCGGGGAGCAAAAAGGCUCUGCGGAGUCGUAUUGAGAGUACCCGAAGAAAAAGCAUCGGCUAACUCCGUGCCAGCAGCCGCGGUAAUACGGAGGAUGCGAGCGUUAUCCGGAUUUAUUGGGUUUAAAGGGUGCGCAGGCGGCGUGUCAAGCAAGCGGUAAAAUAGCGGGGCUCAACCCCGUCGAGCCGUUUGAACUGGCGCGCUUGAGUUCAGGCGAGGUAGGCGGAAUUCGUGGUGUAGCGGUGAAAUGCAUAGAUAUCACGCAGAACUCCGAUUGCGAAGGCAGCUUACCAGUCUGCGACUGACGCUCAGGCACGAAAGUGUGGGUAUCGAACAGGAUUAGAUACCCUGGUAGUCCACACAGUAAACGAUGAGCGCUAGGUGUCCGGGUUGAAUGAGGCUUGGGUGCCCGAGGCGAAAGCGUUAAGCGCUCCACCUGGGGAGUACGCCGGCAACGGUGAAACUCAAAGGAAUUGACGGGGGCCCGCACAAGCGGAGGAAUAUGUGGUUUAAUUCGAUGAUACGCGAGGAACCUUACCCGGGCUCAGACGACUCAGGAAUAUAUUGGAAACGAUGUAGCCAGCAAUGGUCUGAGUCGAGGUGCUGCAUGGUUGUCGUCAGCUCGUGCCGUGAGGUGUCGGCUUAAGUGCCAUAACGAGCGCAACCCCUACCGCCAGUUGCCAACGGGUAAAGCCGGGAACUCUGGCGGGACUGCCGGCGCAAGCUGCGAGGAAGGCGGGGAUGACGUCAAAUCAGCACGGCCCUUACGUCCGGGGCGACACACGUGUUACAAUGGCAGGUACAGCGGGAAGCCACCUGGUGACAGGGAGCGGAACCCGAAAGCCUGUCUCAGUUCGGAUUGGAGUCUGCAACUCGACUCCAUGAAGCUGGAUUCGCUAGUAAUCGCGCAUCAGCCAUGGCGCGGUGAAUACGUUCCCGGGCCUUGUACACACCGCCCGU